Passer domesticus (house sparrow) is the source of this 985-nucleotide long non-coding RNA. RefSeq lists it as uncharacterized. The transcript has 6 exons. NCBI's taxonomy places the organism in Eukaryota, Metazoa, Chordata, Aves, Passeriformes, Passeridae. The record is from RefSeq and is a predicted model, not a curated record.
UCCAGUGGGAGAGCCAGUGGAGAGAGGGAGCCCUUGCUUUCAGGCUGGAGGAGCCUGUUCUUGGAAGACUGCACUCCAUGGAAGAGUGACCCAAGCCACAGUAGUUUGGGGAGGACUGUGUGCCCAUGGGAAGGACUCACACUGCGGCAGUUUUGGGAGAACUGCUGCUCAUGAGGUUUGCAGCCAUGCUGGAGAAGUUCACGGAGAACUGUUUCCUGUGGGAGAGGCUCCACGGUCCCACAGGGGAAGGACUCCUCUCCUUCAGCAGCAGAAGAAAACCUCAGCUGUAGCAGGGGAGGGUGAGUGAGCAGCUUUUGUGGUUGCUUGGCAUUCAGCCAGCAUCUCCAACCAUGAAACAGAAAUGGCUAAAUAUCUGGAAAGCAGUGGGACCAAAAGCUGCAUACCAAGUGCACUAAAAAUGAAUAUUGAUUUCGAUUACAGCCUACCCUGAAGUGUGGAGGUAAACAAAGUUGGAAGAUCACCUACAAAGAAAAAGCUUCAGAGGUGCUCUGCAUGCACAUGUGUCUUGGAGACUUUGAUACCUGACCUGACAAGAGCAGAAACAAGAGGAAGCUGACACAGGAAAAAAGCAGGAUGUCAACAUCAAGCAUUUCAGCCAAGUUGUAGCCUACACAGGACCCACCUGCUUUCAGCAGAAAAAAUGGUGGCGGUAGUAGGCCAUUCUACAACCUGGAUAAAGUUAUCUGUUCAAAAUUUCUCAGUAUUGUAAGCAAUAAAAUAUUUUAUAUCUUAUAGAAAUACAGAAAAGAUAUAAAAAAAAUUGUAGAAUAGAUGACUCCAAAUAUUUUUCAUCCCAGCAUACAGUCCUUCAACAACAAAUGCAAAAUAGAGUGAAAAAGCUAUAUGGGAAAAUUUUACUGUCACUGCAGCAACAAAGGACAGAAGUCGUUGCAUUUCUGUAACUCCUUCACUGGUACUUUUCCAGCCUUUUUUAGUUUUUGGAAAAUAAACCAAAACACUAAUA